RNAcentral lists this long non-coding RNA (1176 nucleotides) under Coffea arabica (coffee). RNAcentral describes it as "long non-coding RNA (CARA_LNC007981)". The record is from RNAcentral. Lineage: Eukaryota; Viridiplantae; Streptophyta; Magnoliopsida; Gentianales; Rubiaceae.
UUAUAUCUCUAUGAAUAAUUCGACACUUUGUGUUUUCGUGCAGGUAGACUAAUCCCUCUGCCGUCCCUAUAAUUAUCUCAAAUCUCUUCUCCCAGUUAAGUGCUUUACCUUUAUUUGCAUCUGUGACAUCAGUUAAAUAAUGUAGUUUGUCAUUUAACUCCAGAACAACAUUAAUGUAAUAUGGACCAAAUGCUCUGUUACGAUCAACAAUGUCUUGUCUUAAGAAGCUCUUGAAGUUAAAUUUACUGUCUAAUCCCUUGAUAUAUAAUCUAUACUUACCAAAAAUAAAGCGGUCAAGACUCUUAUUUGGAAGGAAUUCAUAUACAAGAAGGCUUUCAGGUCCUGAACAGCUGCAUCCCAACAACCUGACCAAAUUCUUGUGCUCAACGCUACUAAUAAUGUUAACUUCAUUGUAGAAAUCUGCUGCUCUGUGUUUGUUAUUGAAGAAAAGCCUCUUAACAGCAAUCUCUCUUCCAUCUGGUAAAACUCCCUGUACAAAUGAUGAAACUUAGGCAUAAACCCGAAAUAAUACAAAUGGUGUUUGAUUAGAUGUUGUAUGCAUUUGUGGUUGAAGAGAGAAUUGUGCUUUAGUCAUUUACCUUGUAGACGGUUCCAAAUCCACCUUGCCCCAGCUUAUUGGCUUCAUCAAAUGAACCAGUGGCUUUCUCAAGAGUGGAGUAUUUGAAGUUCAAGCUGCUAUCAUGAAGAGUUUUCACCAAUUUCUCCGCAUCAUUUGAGCCUUAAAAGAGUUGCAAGAGAUUUCAAGCACAAUCAACUUACAGUCAGAGUGAGUGCAUAUUUUGUAUCGAGUUACAUCACUUCUGUUGCUAUUCUAAACAUUAUCACAUGACCAACUGCUCUACAGUCAAUGUAAAAUGUUUAGUAGCGAAAAAUUACAUGUAAAUUUGGUUCUCCUAUUUCAUUAAUUGGAAGCAAUAACCAGUGGCUUUCAAAACUGGCGCAUGCCAUAUGAUGACAUAUGAAGUUGACCUACCUUUUCGCUUCUUCUGUAUUCUUUUGUUCUUCCAGAAAUAGGCUCCAAUGAUUGCUCCCACGGCCAAAACAAUUGCAGAACUCACUGCAGCAACAACAAUGACUACAACUGUCCCUGCAAAUAUUGUCAUUAAGAAAUCAAGAUCACCAUGAGUAGGAACAUCACCCGCUUUUGAUUCUAAA